CGCAUAUAUGCUGGAAUGCUUUAUGCGUAAAAUGGAUUCGUCUGCCCAAGGAUGGGUCUGCGGCCUAUCAGGUAGUAGUGGGUGUAAUGUACCUACUAGCCUACAACGGGUACGGGUUGUGAGAGCAAGAGCCCGGAGAUGGAUUCUGAGACAUGAAUCCAGGCCCUACGGGGCGCAGCAGGCGCGAAAACUUUACAAUGCGGGAAACCGUGAUAAGGGGACACCGAGUGCCAGCAUCAUAUGUUGGCUGUCCAGAUGUGUAAAAUACAUCUGUUAGCAAGGGCCGGGCAAGACCGGUGCCAGCCGCCGCGGUAACACCGGCGGCCCGAGUGGUGAUCGUGAUUAUUGGGUCUAAAGGGUCCGUAGCCGGUUUGGUCAGUCCUCCGGGAAAUCUGACGGCUCAACCGUUAGGCUUUCGGUGGAUACUGCCAGACUUGGAACCGGGAGAGGUAAGAGGUACUACAGGGGUAGGAGUGAAAUCUUGUAAUCCCUGUGAGACCACCUGUGGCGAAGGCGUCUUACCAGAACGGGUUCGACGGUGAGGGACGAAAGCUGGGGGCACGAACCGGAUUAGAUACCCGGGUAGUCCCAGCCGUAAACGAUGCUCGCUAGGUGUCAGGCAUGGCGCGACCGUGUCUGGUGCCGCAGGGAAGCCGUGAAGCGAGCCACCUGGGAAGUACGGCCGCAAGGCUGAAACUUAAAGGAAUUGGCGGGGGAGCACAACAACGGGUGGAGCCUGCGGUUUAAUUGGACUCAACGCCGGACAACUCACCGGGGACGACAGCAAAAUGUAGGCCAGGCUGAAGACCUUGCCUGAAUCGCUGAGAGGAGGUGCAUGGCCGUCGCCAGUUCGUACUGUGAAGCAUCCUGUUAAGUCAGGCAACGAGCGAGACCCGUGCCCACUGUUACCAGCAUGUCCUCCGGGACGAUGGGUACUCUGUGGGGACCGCCGAUGUUAAAUCGGAGGAAGGUGCGGGCCACGGUAGGUCAGUAUGCCCCGAAUUUCCCGGGCUACACGCGGGCUACAAUGAAUGGGACAAUGGGUCCCUCCCCUGAAAAGGGCUGGUAAUCUCCCAAACCCAUCCGUAGUUCGGAUCG
This 1098-nucleotide ribosomal RNA is filed under the name Methanosarcina thermophila. RNAcentral describes it as "bacterial SSU rRNA". It matches the Rfam family "Archaeal small subunit ribosomal RNA", at positions 156 to 1256 of the family's 1478-position model. The record is from RNAcentral. Lineage: Archaea; Methanobacteriati; Methanobacteriota; Methanomicrobia; Methanosarcinales; Methanosarcinaceae.